AAACUUUCAACAACGGAUCUCUUGGUUCUGGCAUCGAUGAAGAACGCAGCGAAAUGCGAUAAGUAAUGUGAAUUGCAAAAUUCAGUGAAUCAUCGAAUCUUUGAACGCACAUUGCGCCCGCCAGUAUUCUGGCGGGCAUGCCUGUCCGAGCGUCAUUU
This 158-nucleotide ribosomal RNA is filed under the name Trichoderma virens. Its description in RNAcentral is "5.8S ribosomal RNA". It matches the Rfam family "5.8S ribosomal RNA". Rfam says of the family: 5.8S ribosomal RNA (5.8S rRNA) is a component of the large subunit of the eukaryotic ribosome. It is transcribed by RNA polymerase I as part of the 45S precursor that also contains 18S and 28S rRNA. Functionally, it is thought that 5.8S rRNA may be involved in ribosome translocation. Lineage: Eukaryota; Fungi; Ascomycota; Sordariomycetes; Hypocreales; Hypocreaceae. The record is from RNAcentral. RNAcentral also lists the same sequence under 1 other name.